UACAGAGGGGGCAAGCGUUGUUCGGAAUUACUGGGCGUAAAGGGCGCGUAGGCGGCCAACUAAGUCAGACGCGAAAUCCCUCGGCUCAACCGGGGAACUGCGUCUGAUACUGGAUGGCUUGAAUCCGGGAGAGGGAUGUGGAAUUCCAGGUGUAGCGGUGAAAUGCGUAGAUAUCUGGAGGAACACCCGUGGCGAAGGCGGCAUCCUGGACCGGUAGUGACGCUGAGGCGCGAAAGCCAGGGGAGCAAACGGG
RNAcentral lists this ribosomal RNA (253 nucleotides) under uncultured bacterium. RNAcentral's name for it is "partial 16S ribosomal RNA". It matches the Rfam family "Bacterial small subunit ribosomal RNA", at positions 524 to 776 of the family's 1533-position model. The record is from RNAcentral.